GGCGGGCGCUCGCCGGGCAGUUCCCGCGCGGCCCCGCGAGGUCGCGAGAGUUAGACGACGGGCGCGCGCACUUCCCCCGCAGCCGCAGGGAGGGGGCGGGCGCUCGCCGGGCAGUUCCCGCGCGGCCCCGCGAGGUCGCGAGAGUUAGACGACGCGCGCGCGCGCACUUCCGCCGCAGCCGCAGGGAGGGGGCGGGCGCUCGCCGGGCAGUUCCCGCGCGGCCCCGCGAGGUCGCGAGUUAGACGACGCGCGCGCGCGCGCACUUCCGCCGCCGACGCAGGGAGAGGGCGGGGAAGUUAGACAGGCGAGCUGCGGGUGUCGUUAACUCUCAGUCCCCAGCUCCUGCGCCUGUCGCUGCUCCCGCGACCUCGGCCCCACGGUGGGCGAGGCCUGGCACACAUGCAGUAGGUGCCACUUUGUCCUGGCAUUCUCUUUAUAAAUUACUAGCGUCAACUUGCCAGGGUUUUGCUGGGGGGUUUGCAUCUCUGCUCGUGGGAAGUACUGGCCUGUAGUUUUCCUUUCUGUAAUGUCUUCGGGUAAUGUCGGCCCUAGGACGCGCGGCUUCCUGCAGAAGGCUGACCCCGGAGGAGCCGGCCAGCACCGGACUAAGGGGCCCGGGCGAAGCAGCCCGCCUCGGUCACGGGUGCGGUGCAGCCACAGAAAAGCGCAUCCGAGCACGGAGCGCGCAAGACACGGGGCGGGCCCAGGAACAGCGCUCCCCCGGUCUGCACGGGGGACCUCAGGGAUGCGGGGAUGCGGAACAGACACCAAAGGUAAAAAUGGAUCUCCAGAAAACUCACUGAUAACAUCUGGCCACUUUAUAAGCCAGGGUCUCUCUCCAAGAUGGCUUCUCUGUGAUGAACUAAUCCAGUGUUUGCAUAUUGUCCCAUAUCCUCCACAUCUGUGAGUCAAAUUCAGUGUGAACUGUCUUAUCUUCACUGCAGCCUGCACUCUUGACAAAAGCUCUUCCACACUCAUCACAUUCAUAGAGUUUCUCCUCAGUGUGUAGCUCGGAUGCUGAAUAAGGAUGGAGCUCUGAGUGAAACUCAUUCCACAUUCAUCACACUUACGCCAUCAUGGGUAUCUUUCUAGUCUUCCCUGAUAUUUCUGGACUUAUGUAAUGAAAGCACUGAGGAAUACCUCCAUCUAAUCUGACAAUGGGUCCCUGUUGGCAUGUUAUUUCUUCAGACUUCUACUUUGGAAGCAUCUUCUCCAUUUCAACCAAAUCAUCUGAAAGAGGGGACUGAACAUUUCAGCAUGACUCACCCACUCACACACACCUUACUCAAUUACUUGCUCAUUGAACAAGCACUCAUUAAAAGUACAUGGUAGGGGCACCUGGGUAGCUCAAUUGGUUCAGCGUCUGCCUUCAGCUCAGGUCAAGAUCUCAGGGUCCCGGGAUCGAGCCCCAUGUCGUCGGGGAGCCUGCUUCUGCCUCUCCCUUUGCCGCUCCCUCUUCCCCUCCCCCUGCUUGUGCUCUCUCAUUCUUGCUCUCUCUCAAAUAAAUAAAUAAAUAAAAUCUUAAAAAAAAAAAGUACAUGCUAAAGGAAAGAAAACAAAAUGUCUUAUGUAACAUAGGUGUGUACUGAGUUUAUGACUUAAAUUAUACUGUGUUAUUUUUAAAAGCAAGGGAUAUGUAUGUAUACAUGUGCUUAUGAUAAAUAAAUGAUAAAAGGAUAAACCACAAAAGUAAAGAGCAAGAAAGGAUUAUCUAUGGGGAAGAGAGGGAACAGAAGGAUGGAACAGGAAGAGAACUUCCUUGAAAAUAUUUUACAGAUUUCAUAUGUAAAACUUUAUAUAAUUUAAAAAAAUAAACAUUUUAAAUAUAAAAUAAAAUAAAAAAUCACUCCCUAAACUUGAACAAGUAAUGAAACAAACUGAAUUUAAAUGUGUACCUGUUGGGGCACCUGGGUGGCUCAGUUGUUAGGUGUCUGCCUUCAGCUCAGGUCAUGAUCCCAGGGUCCUGGGAUCGAGCCCCGCAUCGGGCUCCCUGCCCUGCGGGAAGCCUGCUUCUCCCUCUCCCACUCCCCCUGCUUGUGUUCCCUCUCUCGCUGUGUCUCUCUCUGUCAAAUAAAUAAAUAAACCUUAAAAGAAAAAAAAAGAACUAUAAAUGUGUACCUGUUGGUAGCAUAAGCACACAGAAGAGGAAUUAUUUCUAAUCCCAAAGAUCUAUAACUUAAGGACAAAAAGAAUGGGAAAACACAGGCACAACCAUGAAGCUGUUUAUAAUAAUCAUACUUGUUGAUGGUGGUGCUAAUAUUUUUAUUGAGGCUAUUGUGUAUAUAUUGUGGGAUAAAGCAAAUGAGUAUUUGGUACUCUAUUAUUCCUGGUGUCUUUGAGAAUUCUCCAAAAGGAGAUACAGAUGAAAGACAGAUUAAGACCCUGAAAUACUGAAUUUGAAUUGGAACUAUCAAUAUGAAUUCACAAUACAUAGCUUAUCUUAAAUUUUUCCUAGCUUUGAGCACUGACAAGGCCUAGGAACAAUGUCCAAUAAAGCCGUGAACACUCCUAGUACCUUAUUUUUGGUCUUCAAAUACCGUUUCCCACUAAACAGAAUCAAGGGGUCUUGGAAAAAUGAAUGAUCCCAGGAGUGGGAAGGAAUUAGAAGAUGAGUCUGUACCUCUUGUUAUACCAGACAGCAAGAAAGCUAUUAAAAUGCCUAGACUCAUGUCAUAAAUAGAGGAGUCAAACUCAACAGGCUCCUACUGCCCAAAGAUGAGACAAAUGAGCUUCAAUAAGGGAUAGUUAAGUACAAUGGAUUGAAAAAUAUGAAAUAGGUUUAAAUCCACGAGUUCUAAAUGAUACCAUUAUUAAUAAUAACAACUGGCCACCGUUUUAGAGAAUGACAGCAAAAUGAAUUCAUCAUUUUGAAACCGAUUUUUAAAAAUAGGUAGUGGGAGGGCAACCUGGGUGGCUCAGUCAGUUAAGCCUCUGCCUUCAGCUCAGGUCAUGAUCCCAGGGUCCUGGGAUCGAGUCCCACAUUGGGCUCUCUGCUCAGUGGGGAGUCUGCUCCUCCCUUUCCCUCAGCCCCUCCACCCCGCUUGUGUGCUUUGUCAAAUAAAUAAAAUCUUAAAAAAAAAAAAAGGUAGUGGGGAGGGAGUUAAUCAAUUACCUUGCUUCUUCUAUAAGAACCACUGGGUAACCAAGUAGGAAGACAGGGGAAGUAUCUCUUUAUAUAAAUAUUCUAGCUUUGUUAAACGAAGGAUGACAGAAUAAGAAUACCGACAUUCUGGAUAGGUACUGAGGAUCGAGAGCUGCUAACAUCACAAAAAAAGAGACAACCAGAUGUUGUAAACUCCUGAUAGAACACACCACCUUGCCAAGUUAAACUUACCUUGUUCCCAAACCUUAAACUUGAUUUUGAUCAAGCCCCCAGUUUACUGCAAAUUAUAGAAAAUGGAGAGGACAACAGAAGACAUUAUACUACAGAACCAGAUGCAGAUGGCAAAGUCCUCACUAUGGGACUCUGAGAAACAGCCUGGUGUGUUUAGUUUUUUUUUUUUUUAAUUAUUUAAAGUAAUCUCUACCCAAAAGGUGUGGCUCGAACUCAUGACCCUGAGAUCGAGUCGCAGGCUCCUCUGACUGAGCCAGCUGGGUGCCCCCAACCUGAUGUUUUGUUUUUUAAAGAUUUUAUUUAUUUAUUUGGCAGAGAGAGAUACAGCAAGAGAGGGAACACAACAAACAGGGGGAGAGGGAGAGGGAGAAGCAGGCUUCCCGCCGAGCAGGGAGCCCGAUGCGGGGCUUGAUCCCAGGACCCCGGGAUCAUGACCUGAGCCAAAGGCAGACGCUUAACGACUGAGCCAUCCAGGCACCCCUUGUUUUGUUUUGAAGAUUUUUAAUUUAUUCACUUGAGAGAGAGAGAGACAGAAAGAGCACAAGCAGGGGGAGCAGCAGAGGGAGAGGGAGAAGCAGACUCCUUGCCAAGCUGGGAGCCCAACGGGGCUCUAUCCCAGGACCUGGAGAUCAUGACCUGAGCCAAAGGCAGAUGCUCAACCAUCUGAGCCACCCCGGCGCCCCCCAGCCUGAUGUUUUUAGUUAAUUGCAAGUGGGGAGAUAAAAAGGAAGAGGGAUCUAUAUAUUAAGAGAAACUUAAGAGAUAUAUCAAUGGAUCAAAAUGUGUUUUCUUCUUGGGAUCCCAAUUCAAACAAGCUAAAACAAAAGAAAUUUAAAAAUUCAUAACAUCUUUGAGACAACUGGAAAUUUGGUACAAUUUUUUUAGGUGUGAUAAUACUAUUAUGGUUACAUUAAAGAAAUUCCUGUCUUCUAGUCAUGACUCUAAGAAUUCAUCUUUUGAGCUACAUAUUGAAAUAUUUACAUUUGAAAGAUUAUAUCUGAGAUAUACUUCAAAAUUAUAUGGAAAAAAUAACAUGGAAAUGAGUAGUUAUGAGACAAGAUAGUCAUGAUUUGAUAAUGUUGAAACUGGGUGGCAGGUUCAUGGAGAUUCAUUAUACAGUUCUUUUAUAUAGAUUUGUACUUUUUCAGAAUAAAAAGUAAAAAAAGAUAAGUUUGUGGCUUUCAGUUGGUAGUAUGUAAAAAAAAGAAAAAAGAAAAAAGAAGUAACUUACAAACCCUCCUAGUUAAAAGAUAGCUUUUUCUGUAGGAACCGCCAGGCUGAGAGAAGCAUGGCCCUCUCCUCUCCACCCCCAUGGUGUGUGCUUGUCACUGAUAUCCAUGUACUCUGAAAAGGGGGAGUCAUCUGGCAAAAAUGUGACUUUGCUUACUGUGUUCAAGGCUCCCAUUCGACCUGAUAUUGUGAACUCUGUUCACACCAA
Mirounga angustirostris (Northern elephant seal) is the source of this 4772-nucleotide long non-coding RNA. RefSeq lists it as uncharacterized. The record is from RefSeq and is a predicted model, not a curated record. The transcript is spliced from 2 exons. Lineage: Eukaryota; Metazoa; Chordata; Mammalia; Carnivora; Phocidae.